GACGAACGCUGGCGGCGUGCUUAACACAUGCAAGUCGAGCGGUAAGGCCCUUUCGGGGGUACACGAGCGGCGAACGGGUGAGUAACACGUGGGUGACCUGCCCUCAGCUCUGGGAUAAGCCUGGGAAACCGGGUCUAAUACUGGAUAUGACUCCAUGACGCAUGUUGUGGGGUGGAAAGCCUUGUGCGGCUGAGGAUGGGCCCGCGGCCUAUCAGCUUGUUGGUGGGGUGANGGCCUACCAAGGCGACGACGGGUAGCCGGCCUGAGAGGGCGACCGGCCACACUGGGACUGAGACACGGCCCAGACUCCUACGGGAGGCAGCAGUGGGGAAUCUUGCGCAAUGGGCGAAAGCCUGACGCAGCGACGCCGCGUGAGGGAUGA
This 382-nucleotide ribosomal RNA is filed under the name uncultured bacterium. Its description in RNAcentral is "bacterial SSU rRNA". It matches the Rfam family "Bacterial small subunit ribosomal RNA", at positions 28 to 411 of the family's 1533-position model. The record is from RNAcentral.